ACUACGGGUGGCUGCAGUGGGGGAUAUUGCACAAUGGGGGAAACCCUGAUGCAGCGACGCCGCGUGUGGGAAGACGGUCCUCUGGAUUGUAAACCACUGUCCCCAGGGACGAAGAUGACGGUACCUGGGGAGGAAGCUCCGGCUAACUACGUGCCAGCAGCCGCGGUAAUACGUAGGGAGCAAGCGUUGUCCGGAAUUACUGGGUGUAAAGGGAGCGUAGGCGGGAAGGCAAGUGGGGUGUUAAAUCUACCGGCUCAACUGGUAGUCGCACUACAAACUGCUAUUCUUGAGUGAAGUAGAGGCAGGCGGAAUUCCUAGUGUAGCGGUGAAAUGCGUAGAUAUUAGGAGGAACACCAGUGGCGAAGGCGGCCUGCUGGGCUUUUACUGACGCUGAGGCUCGAAAGUGUGGGGAGCAAACAGGAUUAGAUACCCUUGUAG
RNAcentral lists this ribosomal RNA (438 nucleotides) under uncultured bacterium. Its description in RNAcentral is "partial 16S ribosomal RNA". It matches the Rfam family "Bacterial small subunit ribosomal RNA", at positions 338 to 793 of the family's 1533-position model. The record is from RNAcentral.